UUGCAUAUCAAUAAGCGGAGGAAAAGAAACCAACAGGGAUUGCCUCAGUAACGGCGAGUGAAGCGGCAACAGCUCAAAUUUGAAAUCUGGCCCCAGGCCCGAGUUGUAAUUCGCAGAGGAUGCUUUUGGCGCGGUGCCUUCCGAGUUCCCUGGAACGGGACGCCAUAGAGGGUGAGAGCCCCGUACGGUUGGACACCAAGCCUUUGUAAAGCUCCUUCGACGAGUCGAGUAGUUUGGGAAUGCUGCUCAAAAUGGGAGGUAUAUUUCUUCUAAAGCUAAAUAUUGGCCAGAGACCGAUAGCGCACAAGUAGAGUGAUCGAAAGAUGAAAAGCACUUUGAAAAGAGGGUUAAACAGCACGUGAAAUUGUUAAAAGGGAAGCGCUUAUGACCAGACUUGCGCCCGGUGAAUCACCCAGCUCUCGCGGCUGGGGCACUUUGCCGGCUCAGGCCAGCAUCAGCUCGCUGUCGGGGACAAAAGCUUCGGGAACGUAGCUCUCUUCGGGGAGUGUUAUAGCCCGUUGUAUAAUACCCUUCGGCGGGCUGAGGUACGCGCUCCGCAAGGAUGCUGGCAUAAUGGUCAUCA
This 583-nucleotide ribosomal RNA is filed under the name Colletotrichum boninense. Its description in RNAcentral is "eukaryotic LSU rRNA". It matches the Rfam family "Eukaryotic large subunit ribosomal RNA", at positions 36 to 643 of the family's 3401-position model. Lineage: Eukaryota; Fungi; Ascomycota; Sordariomycetes; Glomerellales; Glomerellaceae. The record is from RNAcentral.